UCGUACGGGAGUUUUUAACUCAAGUGGCGGACGGGUGAGUAACACGUGAGAAUUUACCUUUAGGAGGGGGAUAACAAUUGGAAACGAUUGCUAAUACCCCAUAUGCUUUUUUAAGUGAAACGAAUUCUUUCGCCUAAAGAAAAGCUCGCGGCUGAUUAGCUAGUUGGUAAGGUAAUGGCUUACCAAGGCGACGAUCAGUAUCUGGUUUGAGAGGACGAUCAGACACACUGGAACUGAGACACGGUCCAGACUCCUACGGGAGGCAGCAGUGGGGAAUUUUCCGCAAUGGGCGAAAGCCUGACGGAGCAAUACCGCGUGAGGGAAGAAAGCCUACUGGGUUGUAAACCUCUUUUUUCAGGGAGGAAAAAAAUGACGUGUACCUGAAGAAUAAGCAUCGGCUAACUCCGUGCCAGCAGCCGCGGUAAGACGGAGGAUGCAAGUGUUAUCCGGAAUUACUGGGCGUAAAGCGUCUGUAGGUGGUUUAAUAAGUCAACUGUUAAAUCUUGAGGCUUAACUUCAAAACAGCAGUCGAAACUAUUAGACUAGAGUAUAGUAGGGGUAAAGGGAACUUCCAGUGGAGCGGUGAAAUGCGUAGGUAUUGGAAAGAACACCGAUGGCGAAAGCACUUUACUGGGCUAUUACUAACACUCAGAGACGAAAGCUAGGGUAGCAAAUGGGAUUAGAUACCCCAGUAGUCCUAGCUGUAAACAAUGGAUACUAGAUGUUGAACAGAUCGACCUGUGCAGUAUUAAAGCUAACGCGUUAAGUAUCCCGCCUGGGAAGUAUGCUCGCAAGAGUGAGACUCAAAGGAAUUGACGGGGGCCCGCACAAGCGGUGGAGCAUGUGGUUUAAUUCGAUGCAACGCGAAGAACCUUACCAGGGUUUGACAUGAUACGAAUUUUUUUUGAAAGAAAAAAGUGCCGUUUNGNACGUAUACACAGGUGGNGCAUGG
RNAcentral lists this ribosomal RNA (952 nucleotides) under uncultured bacterium. RNAcentral's name for it is "bacterial SSU rRNA". It matches the Rfam family "Bacterial small subunit ribosomal RNA", at positions 62 to 1048 of the family's 1533-position model. The record is from RNAcentral.